This is a long non-coding RNA of Xiphophorus couchianus (Monterrey platyfish), 927 nucleotides long. RefSeq lists it as uncharacterized. The transcript has 2 exons. Lineage: Eukaryota; Metazoa; Chordata; Actinopteri; Cyprinodontiformes; Poeciliidae. The record is from RefSeq and is a predicted model, not a curated record.
GAGAGCAGUUAUUUCCUAUGUAACAGAUGUUUAGUGAGGAGGUAAAAAACAACUUCACACAGAGUACAGUGCCUGCUUUCAGGGUUUUUCCAAGGUUCAAGUCCAAAGUAAAUCAGUCAGUGAGGGGGCUACUUUCAAUAUUUUCUCAGUAGUUUGUCAACCGCAGGCACAGCACCAAUCUCUCCGUACUGCACGUUUCUGUGAAGGUUUUUCUAGCGAGUUUUAGAGGGAGGGGGGGGGGGGGGGGGGGGGGGGGGAAUGGUGAGGUGAGACUUAAACUUCAGCUUAGUUUCUGUUUUAGUCACUUUGAGAGUGAGAUCGAGCAGGCGUUUGAGCGACAGACACAAAGUAACAUAAAAUACUUUUAACUCCUAAAUGGGAUUUUUACUCAUAAUUAAAAAUAAUAAUAAUAAAUAAUAUUAAUGUAUUACAUGGGCUAAAAUAACAAUAAUGCAGAAUUUCACAUUUCAAGUCUAUUUCAGCAGAAGAAGACCAAGAUUGCUCUAGAUACACUGUAAUGAAACGUCUGUCAACCAUAGCUGAAAAGCCUCACCAAUUUCUGAAUUUUGCCUGAUGAUGAACAGCAAAACAAACUUCCAGGCAACCAGAUAAUUCUGGUUGUUUUAGUAUGGACAAAAAUACACGAAGUAAUUUUUCACAGAAAAAUAUUUUCAUCUCGUUGUAUAAAUGUCCACUUCUUACAGAAAACAAAAUCACAGAGAACCAGUGAACCACAAACAACACUAAAAUGUAAAAUCUAGCUGAAUCACUGAUUAACAUCCUCAGCAUAAAGUAUUUUUUUUAAAUCUUUGUAAAAUAACAUUUGUAACUUUCUAACUCUCCUUAUAGUCCUAAAUGUCUACCACGUAAGUGUUUCUGGAUGUAUGAGUUGUGCAAUAAAUGAGUGUUAUAGACUCAUUACUCAUA